RNAcentral lists this unclassified non-coding RNA (425 nucleotides) under Hevea brasiliensis (rubber tree). Lineage: Eukaryota; Viridiplantae; Streptophyta; Magnoliopsida; Malpighiales; Euphorbiaceae. The record is from RNAcentral.
UAUGGAUAUUGCUGUCCGUGCUCACCUCUGUGGAUGGAAGUUUAUCUAUGUGAAUGACGUUAAGUGCCUCUGUGAACUACCAGAAUCAUACGAGACAUAUAAGAAGCAGCAACACCGGUGGCAUUCUGGUCCAAUGCAACUUUUUCGCCUGUGUUUCUCUGACAUAUUGCGUUCCAAGGUUAGCUGGCUCAAGAAAGCCAACCUGAUAUUUCUAUUUUUCCUCUUGCGGAAGCUCAUCCUACCAUUUUAUUCAUUCACUCUCUUUUGUAUCAUCCUCCCACUCACCAUGUUCCUCCCAGAAGCCCAGUUACCAGCUUGGGUCGUCUGCUAUGUGCCUGGACUUAUGUCAGUCCUCAAUAUUCUUCCAGCUCCACAGUCAUUCCCUUUUAUUGUGCCCUAUCUUCUAUUUGAAAACACAAUGUCUG